RNAcentral lists this ribosomal RNA (220 nucleotides) under uncultured bacterium. RNAcentral's name for it is "partial 16S ribosomal RNA". It matches the Rfam family "Bacterial small subunit ribosomal RNA", at positions 1281 to 1500 of the family's 1533-position model. The record is from RNAcentral.
UACGGUCUCAGUUCAGAUUGCAGGCUGCAACUCGCCUGCAUGAAGUUGGAAUUGCUAGUAAUCGCGAAUCAGAAUGUCGCGGUGAAUACGUUCCCGGGCCUUGUACACACCGCCCGUCACACCAUGGGAGUCGGAAAUGCCCGAAGCCGGUGACCCAACCAAAAGGAGGGAGCCGUCGAAGGCAGGUCUGAUAACUGGGGUGAAGUCGUAACAAGGUACC